AUCUUAUAGCAUAUAGCAGGAGUUUAAUAAACAAUUGUUUAAAAAAAAAAAAAAAGAAGCAGGUCUCCUUGGAAGAAUGGCUGACUCCAAGGCUGGGGCAGAGAAGGCGUAAGGUCCUGUCAUGAGAUGAUACAGCAAGGAGGCCCUCACCACAUGCCAGCCCCCUUGAUCUUGGACUACCCAGCCUCCAAAACUACUCCUGCAAGAUGAGUAGUCAGUGACUUCCUGAGUAGAAAUCAGAUGACCUACAAUGGUUUUAAAAACAGAGAACAGAAGAGUAAAGCUGAAAAAUACUUUGUCACUGGCCAGGUACUCCCUUUAGAAGUAGGUCACCUGCCUGUGGUCCCAGCUACUUGGGAAGCUGAGGCGGGAGGCUCGCCUGAGUCCAGAAAGUCAAGGCUGCAGAGAGCCAUGUUCACUGCACUCCAGCAUGGGUGACAGAGGGAGACCCUGUCUCAAAAAAAAAA
This 467-nucleotide non-coding RNA is filed under the name Pongo abelii (Sumatran orangutan). The record is from RNAcentral. Lineage: Eukaryota; Metazoa; Chordata; Mammalia; Primates; Hominidae.